UUGGCACUAACACAAAAGGCCGAUUUGGAAUUAGAUAUUUCGCUUUUUCACUUAUCUUUUUUGCUUUUUUUUCUUCUUUCCACUCAAAAGAUAUUUUAAUUUCUCUCUUUUGAAUCUUUUUUCUUCUCGUCGUCCGUCGUCUUCACAAACCAAACUUCUCCACGAAAUAUCUUUAGCUUUUUUUUCUCCGAAGAAUCUGAGCUUCAAGAGGAGCUUAAUCUCUACCUGAAUUUCGAGAAAUUAGAGAGUAAAAAAAAAUGGGAGAAGAAGUGAGGAUGAGCGAUUACGAUGUUUCCGGCGACGGAGAUAGGGUUCUGGAAUGGGAGAUGGGAUUACCAAGCGACGAUGAUUUAGCAUCGCUUUCUUACUCUUUGAUUCCGGUGAAUCUGGCGAUGGCGUUUAGUAUCACACCUGAACGGAGCCGUACGGUUCAGGAUGUGAAUCGCGCAUCGGAGACGACGCUCUCGUCUCUGCGAAGCGGAUCUUCAGGUCCCAACACAUCGUCGUCGAACAAUAAUAGCAACGCGGUGGAGGAGGAGGAAGAUCGAGUCGGAUCGAGUAGUCCUGGAUCGGAUUUUAAGAAGCAGAAGAUAUCUGACGGAGAUGGAGACGGCGGUGGCGGUGUGGAUCCGGAUGCGGCGAUGGCGGCGGAGGAAGGAGAUUCAGGAACUGAAGAUCUAUCUGGGAAAACACUGAAACGACCUCGUUUAGUGUGGACGCCGCAGCUGCACAAGAGAUUCGUUGAUGUUGUGGCUCACUUAGGGAUCAAAAACGCGGUUCCGAAGACGAUCAUGCAGCUGAUGAACGUCGAAGGGCUAACUCGAGAGAACGUUGCUUCUCAUCUCCAGAAGUAUAGGCUUUACCUUAAAAGGAUGCAGGGUUUGACUAACGAAGGUCCCUCUGCUUCGGAUAAGCUCUUCUCUUCAACACCUGUGCCUCCACAGAGCUUUCAAGACAUCGGUGGCGGUAACGGCCAGGGGAAUGGAUCGGCUGGACAACUUAGAGUGCCAAUUCCAGUACCGUAUGGAGGGCAGCCGAUGAUGCAGAUGCCAGUUUAUGCGCAUCAUAUGGGUAUGCAAGGGUUUCAUCAUCAGAAUCAAGGUCAUGAUCCUUAUCAUCAGAACCAUCAUCAUCAUCAUCAUGGAGCUGGUGGAGCUGGAUCUGGUGCAUUUGAAUCAAAUCCGUAUAUGAUGCAGCAGAAUAAGUUUGGAUCCAUGGCUUCUUAUCCUUCCGUUGGUGGUGGUAGCGCGAAUGAGAAUUAAAAACUGAGUCUUUAAGAAGAUGUGGGGAAGAAGAGAUAGGUUCUUGGCUUCUCGUACUUUUCCAGUUUGUCACAUCUUUAGAAAUUUCUUAUCAUAUGCCGAGUUUUCCCACUCCAAGGAGAGAUCAAACAAACAUAUCAUGUUGAAGCUAAAGCAGUCAGUACUCUUGGAGCACCAAUGCAUACUUAAAGACUUCUUGACAAGUUUCAUAUACUCGUUUACUUUCUUGUGAGAGUCCUCAUCAAGCGUACAAACUCUUCCAGCGAGCUGUGUGAAGAACCUCCACUUCUAACAGAGGCUCUAAGCUGCUCUUUCAAACUGAAAGCUAUCUUCCUCAUAUCCUCUCCUUCUUCGUCCACCAUUAACCUCUUAACAGCUCUCUCGACCACUCCUCUGUCUAGCUCACCCUCCACUUGAAUCCCAGUUUUCCAAACACACUCCACGUAUCUCGCGUUCACCUUUUGAUCACUCGUAGAUGGCCAGCAGAUCAUGGGAACUCCUUCGCUGAUGCUUUCUAGUGUUGAGUUCCAUCCACAAUGGCUCCAAAAUCCUCCUAUUGCGUGAUGAGCAAGUACUUUCUUCUGUGGAGCCCAUUUCACAAUGUAACCUCUAUCCGAGACCGUCUUACUAAACUCUUCAGGCAAAGACUCUGUCCAUUCUGAACCAUGUAUCGACCCUGGUGGGAUCACCUAUAAAAAGUGUUGGUUGCUAGCAGCCAAUCC
Molecule: non-coding RNA, 1984 nt
Organism: Camelina sativa (false flax)
Lineage: Eukaryota; Viridiplantae; Streptophyta; Magnoliopsida; Brassicales; Brassicaceae
Source: RefSeq, a predicted model, not a curated record